RNAcentral lists this transfer RNA (77 nucleotides) under Thiobacter subterraneus. RNAcentral's name for it is "tRNA-Arg". It matches the Rfam family "tRNA". From Rfam's summary of the family: Transfer RNA (tRNA) molecules are approximately 80 nucleotides in length. Their secondary structure includes four short double-helical elements and three loops (D, anti-codon, and T loops). Lineage: Bacteria; Pseudomonadati; Pseudomonadota; Betaproteobacteria; Burkholderiales; Thiobacteraceae. RNAcentral also lists the same sequence under 12 other names. The record is from RNAcentral.
GCGCCCGUAGCUCAGUUGGAUAGAGUACAGCCCUCCGAAGGCUGGGGUCGGACGUUCGAAUCGUCUCGGGCGCGCCA